GACGAACGCUGGCGGCGUGCUUAACACAUGCAAGUCGAACGGGCCUGUCUUCUUUUUUGGGGGGUGGGUUGAGUGGCGAACGGGUGAGUAUCACGUGAGUAACCUGCCCUUCGGUCCUGGAUAACCGCUUGAAAGGGCGGCUAAUACGGGGUGGUCCGGUUGGUCCGCAUGGGCUGGUCGGGAUAGAUUCACUGUUUUUGGUGUUUCGGCGGGGGAUGGGCUCGCGGCCUAUCAGCUUGUUGGUGGGGUGAUGGCCUACCAAGGCGGUGACGGGUAGCCGGCCUGAGAGGGUGGGCGGCCACACUGUGACUGAGAUACGGCCCAGACUCCUGCGGGAGGCAGCAGUGGGGGGUAUUGCACAAUGGGCGGAAGCCUGAUGCAGCGACGUCGCGUGAGGGAUGGAGGCCUUCGGGUUGUGAACCUCUGUUUCCGGUGGUGAAGGCCCUGUCCGUGUGGUGGGGUUGACGGUAGCCGGGGAUGAAGCGCCGGCUAACUACGUG
RNAcentral lists this ribosomal RNA (500 nucleotides) under uncultured bacterium. RNAcentral describes it as "partial 16S ribosomal RNA". It matches the Rfam family "Bacterial small subunit ribosomal RNA", at positions 28 to 507 of the family's 1533-position model. The record is from RNAcentral.